RNAcentral lists this ribosomal RNA (253 nucleotides) under uncultured bacterium. Its description in RNAcentral is "partial 16S ribosomal RNA". It matches the Rfam family "Bacterial small subunit ribosomal RNA", at positions 524 to 776 of the family's 1533-position model. The record is from RNAcentral.
UACGGAGGGGGCUAGCGUUGUUCGGAAUUACUGGGCGUAAAGCGCACGUAGGCGGCUUUGUAAGUUAGAGGUGAAAGCCCGGGGCUCAACUCCGGAAUUGCCUUUAAGACUGCAUCGCUAGAAUUGUGGAGAGGUAAGUGGAAUUCCGAGUGUAGAGGUGAAAUUCGUAGAUAUUCGGAAGAACACCAGUGGCGAAGGCGACUUACUGGACCAGUACCGACGUUCAGGCACGAAAGCGUGGGGAGCAAACAGG